GUUUGAUAUUCUAGUAACUGAAAUUCGCUUUGUGAAUCUUAUGUCAUAUUUUUUAUCUUCAAAUGAUUCAAUGUCUUUUCAAAAAUGCUAAACAUUGCGAUAGCCCCUAUUCCAGCCCCUACAGAGUUGAGUUGUUGGAAGGCUAGGUUAAACAAGUUAGAGAUCGAGUUGUGGUAUUUACAUAAACAUAAUCUACAGUAUAAUGUAAGGCUGUAUAUCUAAAAAUCUAUUUCAGAAAACGCACGAAAUUCAGUCAUAUAUGGGUGGAAAUAUUAGGGAGCUUUAGAUUUGACUACGGCUACGAGAUCUAGUACGACUACGAGAAUUUUCCGUUCAAUAUCUGCUCCAAAAAGGUUAAAACUGCACGUAGUUUGGUUCAAGUGUUGUUUUAAAGAAGUGCUAUGCCAAAGAGAGGACGAUAGCAAGUCUUAAGUAACAGAAAUUUAACGGGAAAAUCUCGUAGUCGUACUAGAUCUCAUAGCCGUAGUCAAAUCUAAAGUUCCCUCCGCGCGGUCAUUGCGUCCAGCAAACUUUUCAGCUUGACUCAGAGACAACAACACAAACCUCACAGCUUGUCAACAUGAUCUACUCGUGUUGGUUUGGAAACUCAGUAGAAUAACCAUCAAUAUAACUCAUUAUCUAUGUUUAUAGUGGACGUAUGUAAAAAUGUGGAAAACAUAAAUUAUUUCUAAUUACAAUUCAUUCUACUGUAAAAUUGUUCGAGUUUGAUAUACAUGUUUAAUUAAUUAAAGUGCAUAUGACAUGAAAUUUCUUAUUUUCUUAUUAAAUGAAAGAACUCUUUAAACUGUAGUGUAAC
Non-coding RNA from Paramuricea clavata, 817 nucleotides. The record is from the annotation of a GenBank genome assembly. Lineage: Eukaryota; Metazoa; Cnidaria; Anthozoa; Malacalcyonacea; Plexauridae.